RNAcentral lists this ribosomal RNA (500 nucleotides) under uncultured bacterium. RNAcentral's name for it is "partial 16S ribosomal RNA". It matches the Rfam family "Bacterial small subunit ribosomal RNA", at positions 30 to 523 of the family's 1533-position model. The record is from RNAcentral.
AUUGAACGCUGGCGGCAUGCCUUACACAUGCAAGUCGAACGGUAACAGGGAGCUCGCUCCGCUGACGAGUGGCGAACGGGUGAGUAAUGUAUCGGAACGUACCUUUUAGUGGGGGAUAACGUAGCGAAAGUUACGCUAAUACCGCAUAUUCUCUGAGGAGGAAAGCAGGGGACCUUCGGGCCUUGCGCUAAUAGAGCGGCUGAUAUCAGAUUAGCUAGUUGGUGAGGUAAAGGCUCACCAAGGCGACGAUCUGUAGCGGGUCUGAGAGGAUGAUCCGCCACACUGGAACUGAGACACGGUCCAGACUCCUACGGGAGGCAGCAGUGGGGAAUUUUGGACAAAGGGGGCAACCCUGAUCCAGCCAUGCCGCGUGAGUGAAGAAGGCCUUCGGGUUGUAAAGCUCUUUCGGCCGGGAAAAAAUCGCAUGGGUUAAUACCCUGUGUGGAUGAUGGUACCGGAAUAAGAAGCACCGGCUAACUACGUGCCAGCCGCCGCCGUAA